ACACGUGGGUAACCUGCCUGUAAGACUGGGAUAACUCCGGGAAACCGGGGCUAAUACCGGAUGGUUGUUUGAACCGCAUGGUUCAAACAUAAAAGGUGGCUUCGGCUACCACUUACAGAUGGACCCGCGGCGCAUUAGCUAGUUGGUGAGGUAACGGCUCACCAAGGCAACGAUGCGUAGCCGACCUGAGAGGGUGAUCGGCCACACUGGGACUGAGACACGGCCCAGACUCCUACGGGAGGCAGCAGUAGGGAAUCUUCCGCAAUGGACGAAAGUCUGACGGAGCAACGCCGCGUGAGUGAUGAAGGUUUUCGGAUCGUAAAGCUCUGUUGUUAGGGAAGAACAAGUACCGUUCGAAUAGGGCGGUACCUUGACGGUACCUAACCAGAAAGCCACGGCUAACUACGUGCCAGCAGCCGCGGUAAUACGUAGGUGGCAAGCGUUGUCCGGAAUUAUUGGGCGUAAAGGGCUCGCAGGCGGUUUCUUAAGUCUGAUGUGAAAGCCCCCGGCUCAACCGGGGAGGGUCAUUGGAAACUGGGGAACUUGAGUGCAGAAGAGGAGAGUGGAAUUCCACGUGUAGCGGUGAAAUGCGUAGAGAUGUGGAGGAACAC
This 611-nucleotide ribosomal RNA is filed under the name uncultured bacterium. RNAcentral's name for it is "bacterial SSU rRNA". It matches the Rfam family "Bacterial small subunit ribosomal RNA", at positions 113 to 709 of the family's 1533-position model. The record is from RNAcentral.